RNAcentral lists this ribosomal RNA (301 nucleotides) under uncultured bacterium. RNAcentral's name for it is "partial 16S ribosomal RNA". It matches the Rfam family "Bacterial small subunit ribosomal RNA", at positions 509 to 807 of the family's 1533-position model. The record is from RNAcentral.
CAGCCGCCGCGGGAAUACGAAGGGGGCUAGCGUUGUUCGGAUUUACUGGGCGUAAAGGGUGCGUAGGCGGAUUGUUAAGUCAGGGGUGAAAUGCCGGGGCUCAACCUCGGAACUGCCUUUGAUACUGGCGAUCUUGAGUCCGGGAGAGGUGAGUGGAACUGCGAGUGUAGAGGUGAAAUUCGUAGAUAUUCGCAAGAACACCAGUGGCGAAGGCGGCUCACUGGCCCGGAACUGACGCUGAGGCACGACAGCGUGGGGAGCAAACAGGAUUAGAUACCCCUGUAGUCCCUGUCUCUUAUAC